Aegilops tauschii subsp. strangulata is the source of this 2596-nucleotide non-coding RNA. NCBI's taxonomy places the organism in Eukaryota, Viridiplantae, Streptophyta, Magnoliopsida, Poales, Poaceae. The record is from RefSeq and is a predicted model, not a curated record.
GAAAAAAACCAUGCCAAAAAAAAAACCUACGAUCGAUGCCUCGUGCCCACAGCAGAUCGUUCUCCGCCGCCCUCCCAUCGAUCUGCCGCCGAUCCCUGCGGAGCUUCCCUCCCCAAUCCGAUCUGACGGAGAGAGUGCCAGAUCCGGCCGGGGGAGCCGCCGUAGAGCCUCCACGUCGGUGGAGCAGCACCUCCUGCCACGGGCGCCGCCGCCACCUCCUGCCUCACGACCCUUUGCCGCGACUCCGCCCCCAAGCGCGGCUCCCGCACGCAACCCGAACCCUAUCCCGCCAUGCCUCGCUGCCUCGCCGCUUGAGCCGCGCUGAUGGAGCCCGAGCAGCGGUGGCCGACCCCGUCGCCGCCGCCGAGCCUGUGGACGAGGAGAAGGAGAAGGAGGAGGAGACGGAGGCGGCCGAGGACGAGGAGGACACGCUGCUGGACCGCGCGCAGCCUGAUCUCACGGGUCCCUUUGCACAUGUGCAGUUCGUCAAUGGACCAAUGCCUAAUCUCCCCAAGGUUGAUGUUUCACUGGACCCGGUGAAGGAGUUGAGCAGAGUAAUAUCUGAGCGAAAAAAUUGAGGGGCGUGCUUUGGUUGUGCUCUCAGCCAGGUUAUUUUACGAGGGUUGUGUGCACUGAACCCCAUUUCUCUGGACCAAGGGACGAUGAACAAGAUGGGAAUGAGGAGGAUGCUACUAAUCCGGAGUAGUAAUAUUGGAUUACAGGUCAUGGGUUAACUAAUACAUGCAUCAGCUUUGUAUCAUAAAGAUUUCACCAUCCCAAGGUAAUGGAAAUAAGUUCACAAGAUUCUCAUGUUGAGGUCUGUACAAAGAGAUACAAGGCAAUGUCUGUGUGCUGGAAGGAGAAACUCACUGCCAAAGCUAUAAUCCCUGAUGCUAAAGCCUGCAUGUUCAGAUCUGCAGAGUUUACUCAUAUUACUGUAUGAAUGAUUAAUACAGAGGGAGCCCUUUUGUCAGGUCAUUUAAUCAUUAAAUCAUACGCACAUUAUCUCAGAGGGAGUAUUUCAUUUUCUACCUGAACCAAGUUGUUAUUUCAUUUCUAAGAGGCAAAGAGUUCCUCAUGGUUAGUUUGCCACAUUUUAUAUGUCUAUCUAUGUGCAUUACUAAUUCACUAUAUGCACCUUUAGUUCCCAGUUUUGGCUCACUUUCUUGAUGCAUCUCGGAUGAGAGGAAAGGAAUGGAUAAUCUGACAAGCAAUGUUCGGGCAUACCCUUAUAUUUACGUCUGAUGAAAUGCUGCGGGUGCAAACUAAUCAAGACUGCUGCCAUGAGCAAAAGAGCAGACAUUACUUAAUGAGAAAACAAUAAAAGAAUUUUCCGUGACUACGUACCACGACGAGUCAAAGACGAUGAAAGCACUACUCCAUUGGUGGUGUUAGCAAGUGGAGUCUGGAGGGAGAACAACACAAAGUAGGAAAUUGAUUCCCUCGCCCUUGCUUGCUUCAACGACCCCGCCCGUCUUGGUGGGGUCGAUUCCCCCAUCGCCCGACUCAUCUCCGACGAGUAUGGCGUCAGUGGGUACGCCCCGCCGUUCGUAUGCUUGGCGGGUCCCAGAACACCCGUGACGUGUAUGAGCUUGACUAGGGCGAGGGGCUCGUGCUCGUGCUCGAGCUCGACAAGACGCACUUCAAUCUCGUCACCAACUACGAGCUGGACUGUGAGACUCCAGAGCAGGCGGGGGCGACGAAGACGAAAGUGGGGGCAGUUCGAGCUUGUCGCUGCCGGAGACCCUGGAGAGGUGCGCGAAGAGACCUGGUUAGAUGUGUUGGCCACCACUGGUAAACUGGACUAAUAACAAAUCGGAUGUCAUCUCUCAUGUUGCCGAUUCAACCCUGGAUGAUGUUGCGCGGCCCGCGGCCAUGGACGAUGUGCUGUUGGACAACGACGCGAGGCCGAGGCAGCCAAUGUGAAUGACCACUGGAAAUCAUUUACCUUUCAAUCUUGGAAGGCCCUAAGCUAAAGGAGAGCAUCAAUUGUCAUGAGAGAUAAGCAAUAUCUAUUAGACACGCAUACUAUCAGGCUAACGCAAACCACUCGGGAAUGAAGAACUUACUUCCCAACAAGGAAAGUCCAGUGAUUGGGCAACAACAUGUGGAAGGAUAAUUACUGGAUACUUUUUUUAGCGAAUAACUGCGGAGCGAUUUGCUGUCUCAAAACAUGAGACACAAUGAGGUGAAAGAGAUGUGAUGGACAUAGAAGAGUAAACCCAUGAGGACAAAGAGAUGUGAAGCACAUAGAAGGAGGAAGCAAGGACCUCGAUCCACAUUAUUGAAGACAUAGAUAAGAACAAGAGUAUCACACUUCACACAUCAACCAAUCAAUGACACAUGUUGGUAUUGGGGCAUAUCACCCUCCCUUGCAUUAUACCUGUUAAUAUUAAGAUGAAACACUUAGUUGGAUGCAUUUCUCUUAUAUUGUUCUAUGGCAACACCCGAGCAUUCUGCUAGAGAAGAUGCUCGGGUGUAGACAGAAUCAUAUAUUAUAUUAUUAUCAUUAGUAUCAACAUAUUUGUAAAUGUUUUCAUACUCAAUCUAUGAGGUUAGAUUCAACACGAGAUCUAAAGUUUUGCGUGAAGCCAAA